RNAcentral lists this ribosomal RNA (253 nucleotides) under uncultured bacterium. RNAcentral's name for it is "partial 16S ribosomal RNA". It matches the Rfam family "Bacterial small subunit ribosomal RNA", at positions 524 to 776 of the family's 1533-position model. The record is from RNAcentral.
UACAGAGGGUGCAAACGUUGCUCGGAAUUAUUGGGCGUAAAGCGCGUGUAGGCGGCUUGUUAAGUUGGUUGUGAAAACCCAUGGCUCAACCAUGGAAGUGCGUCCAAAACUGGCAAGCUAGAGUUCUGACGAGGAUGGCGGAAUUCCCAGUGUAGAGGUGAAAUUCGUAGAUAUUGGGAGGAACACCGGUGGCGAAGGCGGCCAUCUGGGAAGAUACUGACGCUGAGACGCGAAAGCGUGGGGAGCAAACAGG